This 253-nucleotide ribosomal RNA is filed under the name uncultured bacterium. RNAcentral's name for it is "partial 16S ribosomal RNA". It matches the Rfam family "Bacterial small subunit ribosomal RNA", at positions 524 to 776 of the family's 1533-position model. The record is from RNAcentral.
UACGUAGGGUGCGAGCGUUAAUCGGAAUUACUGGGCGUAAAGCGUGCGCAGGCGGUGAUGUAAGACAGAUGUGAAAUCCCCGGGCUUAACCUGGGAACUGCAUUUGUGACUGCAUAGCUAGAGUACGGUAGAGGGGGAUGGAAUUCCGCGUGUAGCAGUGAAAUGCGUAGAUAUGCGGAGGAACACCGAUGGCGAAGGCAAUCCCCUGGACCUGUACUGACGCUCAUGCACGAAAGCGUGGGGAGCAAACAGG